CUCUUGUCAUCAGCUGCCAAGGCUAUGGAAGCCUCUUGAGUUCGCCAACUCCGACCUUAUUUAGACAAGGCCAUUGUCAAAGUGGAAGUUCUCUCCUCCCUUCAGAGAAAGAUACUACAUUUGCCUGCUGAGAAAAAGCAGUCACAAGGAGAAAUAAGAUCAUCUCCAGGGACGCUGGAGCCCUGGAACAUUUAAAGAUGUGUUAUGCUGGGAUAGUGAAAAGUACAAGUGAUUGCUUGAUAACAAGAGGAAAUGCAUCCUGAAAUAAACUGGUGCCUGAUUUAUGGAAGAAGGUGGAGCCAACUGGCAUGAGGGAUAGAUAAUGGUGGACAUAGCAAUGGGCAUUCCAGAUGCCCCUUCAGGGCAGGACAUGUUCCCAGGUGCUGAAAGUGCAAUCAGUAGCUAGGCCCUUGGGCUCAAGCACUUUGAGAUUUUCUGAGCUGCUGAUCAUACUCUUCUGCAGAUGGCCCCCAUGCAAGUGAGUAAUGCAGGGUCAUUUUAACUCUAAGUAAACCAGAUGUGAUGGGGACCUACAGCUCAAGGUCACCCAGUGAAAUGGGCUAAGGCUGAGAUCUAUCAUAAUAUAACUUCUCCCUUGGCUCAGUCCUAUUUGCCUUCUCCUUUUCACAGGCGUUGAUCACAAGGGAAUGCCCUAGAAGCUUAUUUAUCUUCAUCUCAGGUCUGCUGCUGGACAAACCAGUGUAUGGCAAUGCUGUCUAAGAUGGGGAAUUUUUGUGGUGUUCAAACUGGUAAAGAAUAAACAAACCUGUGCAUUUUCUUUUUAUAGCAGAUGCAGUAUUCUGAGAAAGGGAUUAACACCAUUAAAAAGGGUGCCCAAGAAAUAUAAUUCUUGUUGUGUUGGAAACCUUGGAAGUGUAAGAGGCUAAAAUAUAAAACAGACUGGGAAUCAGUUUCAGGAGUCGAGGAAUGAAAUCCACAGGCUAAUACAGGCUUGUCGUUGUAGAGAGAAGCAUGCUUGUUAUUUUUCAAAGGAGAGUUGGAAAGAUGUGGUGUCAAUCUGGAUGUGAGGGUGAAGAGAAGCCAGCUGAGCAAACAUUGAUUCCCCGGGUGAGAGCAGGGGAGUCUGAGAGUGUCAUGGAUGGUAAUGGAUAAAAUGGGAAAAGGCUUAAUGAGGAGCUUAAUAUUCUCUGGUUUUGACAUCUCUAAUUUAAAAUGUUGACAAUAUAUUUCAGAGGAAAAGAUGGGAGCCAUCUUAAUUGCCCAGCCAUAUAAAGGGAUGGCAUGAUCAGUUGUGCAGGCUGUGAUCAGCACAGGGCAUCAUGCCCAGUGGAAAUGAAGGUUGGGCUCUAGACUGUAUGGGUCUGCACCUGCCCAGAGGAAGGGAAUUUUUCCUGAUCGGCACAGAAAUGUUGCAGGGGCUGGUAGUACACUGGCCAGAGCUUGAAACCAGUGAAAGAUAUGAGAUGUUUUGAUGAAAUGCAUGAAUUUGGUUUAGAUCAGAGUGGGGAGUUCAUGAAGUGGAAGAGUUUCAAAAGUUAAAUGUCUUUAGGAUUGGGGAUAGGUAAGUUACUUAAAUCUUCUAAGUAUCUUUUUUCCUUAAUUGAGUGGCCGGACAAUUUUCUUCUCUCCACUCCUUCACAGUCACCUAUACCAAGAUAGGAUAACUGCAUGAGAUAUUUGUCAAGGCAAAGAAAGGAGGUGGCUAUGCUUAGUCUAAUGAGGUGCAGGAAUUAUGCUAAGAAGUGAUUACAUUUGGCAGUGGAAGUCCUUAACUUGCAGAUAUUUCUUUCUGAGACUGGACAAGGCAGAUCACCUUUUUACUUCUUUCCAUCUUUGCAUGUGCAUGACCUAAUUAUCCAGCAUAUCCAAGAAGGGAAGUCAGAUGGAACACAGAAGGCAAAGUUGCCUUGAAGAGGAAUAAGGGCGACUGCAGGUGAGCCAAAACAUAAAAAGUACAGAUUAAUGGUGUAGCUUUAGAACCAUUGUCCGAGGAGUCCAGGGAGGCUUGUGCCCUCUUAUUAGCAUUGCUGAUUGAUGACAGUGACAGUGAUGGUUUGCACCUUAUCUCAGGCAGACAGCAGAUCUCUGCCAUUGGAGCUGGUUACAUAGCAGGAAUAUCUCUGUGACCAGUAGAGUAUGAGAAACCCAGACUUGGCCUCCAUUGCAGGUUCACUGGUUUUACAUGUUCCUUGCACAUGUCAGUGCCUCCUGCUUCCAGAAGGAAGGUCCUGGUAAGACCUUUCAAAGGGACAACAAUUGAAGUAUGGGCCUGGGUCCUGUAGAUCCCUUGCUAUGAGUCACAUCCUUGCUUGUAGCUGCUGCUAUAUGGUAUCAUUUUUCCUGAUUAGGCCAUAGAUUUCCAAACAUAGGUUGAGCAUCCCUAAUCAAAAUAUCUUUAAUCUGAUGCUCCAAAAUUCAAAAUUUUUUGAGCACCCACAUGAUACUAGAAGUAGAAAAUUCCAUACUUGAUUUCAUGAGAAGAGUCACAGUCAAGAUGUAGGUACACUGAACGCACUGUAUAAAAUGACUUUUUGGCUAUGUGUAUAGGUGUAUAUGAAAAAUAAUUUUAUGCUUUGACUUAGGUUCCCUCAAUAACAUAUCUCGAUGUAUAUGCAAAAAUCCCCCAAACUAAAAAAAAAUUUGAAUUUCAAACACUUCUGGUAUCAAGCAUUUUGGGUAAGAGAUACUGUAUUUGUGUUGUCAUUUUUAGUUCUGUGAGUCAUUUGCUAUCAGUAGUACACAACAUAAUUAAAUUAGCACAUAUUAAAGAUCUGCUUGAUGUACCUUGUUCAUAGUUAUACUCACAAAAUAUAACCUUUUCUGCUCUUCUCUCACAUCCAGUUUCAACUUAUUUUCCUCAUUGUGUUACUUUUUCUGAGAGAUUCUAGUUCUUUUUGCUGGGAGACAGUGCUCUGUGCUGAAGCAAUUGGAUUCUUAACACCCACUUGGCUCUGGAUCUCGGUCCAGUCCUGAUUGUUGGCAGGCAUCUAGGAAGUGAACAACAGGUCACUAAAAAAAGAAGUAAAAGAAAAUUUAGCUCCAUGGAUUAUGACUCUGCACCAGCACAGAGUGGUGGAUACCUGCUGACACACCUUUUUAGCUUCAGUGACACCGCUGCCACAGCUAGAACUCUUAAAUGGCUGGUCCUAGUACUAGGGUGACAGCAAGAGGAACUCAUACAACUUCAGAGGCAAUGAAGGUAGCUGUCCGAGGCUAUCCCAUUCCUCCCUCCCUUCCUCUACUUAUCUACCAUGAGAAUUAUUGUUUUGGACUGGUUGGGAUAUAGACAUAGUA
Oryctolagus cuniculus (rabbit) is the source of this 3255-nucleotide non-coding RNA. The record is from RefSeq and is a predicted model, not a curated record. Lineage: Eukaryota; Metazoa; Chordata; Mammalia; Lagomorpha; Leporidae.